GACGAACGCUGGCGGCGUGCUUAACACAUGCAAGUCGAACGGAAAGGCCCUGCUCUUGCGCGGCGCUCGAGUGGCGAACGGGUGAGUAACACGCGAGUAACCUCCCCUUGUCUUUGGGAUAACUUCUGGGAACUGCGGCGAAUACCGGAUAGGAGCUCUUGCACCAUGGUGGGGGUUGGUAAGUUUCGGCGGUUGGGGAUCGACUCGCUGGUUAUCAGCUUGUUGGUGGGGUAGUUGAUUACCAGGGCUUUGACGGGUAGCCUGCCUGAGAGGGUUACCGGCCACAUUGGGACUGAGGGACGGCGCAGACUCCUACGGGAGGCAGCAGUGGGGAAUAUUGCACAGUGGGCGGAAGCCUGAUGCAGCAACGCCGCGUGCGGGAUGCCGGCCUUCGGGGUAUGAACCGAUUUCGCAUGUGACGAAGCGUGAGUGACGGUAAUGGGUAAAGAAGCACCGGCUAACUACGUG
This 468-nucleotide ribosomal RNA is filed under the name uncultured bacterium. Its description in RNAcentral is "partial 16S ribosomal RNA". It matches the Rfam family "Bacterial small subunit ribosomal RNA", at positions 28 to 507 of the family's 1533-position model. The record is from RNAcentral.